This 759-nucleotide ribosomal RNA is filed under the name uncultured Bacteroidota bacterium. RNAcentral describes it as "bacterial SSU rRNA". It matches the Rfam family "Bacterial small subunit ribosomal RNA", at positions 58 to 818 of the family's 1533-position model. The record is from RNAcentral. Lineage: Bacteria; Pseudomonadati; Bacteroidota.
CAAGUCGAACGGUAAAUAUUCAGCAAUGGAUAUGAGAGUGACGUACGGGUGCGUAACACGUAUGCAACCUACCCUUUACAGGAGGAUAGCUCGGGGAAACUCGGAUUAACCCGUCAUAAUAUAAUUGGAUGGCAUCAUUUGAUUAUUAAAUCUACGGAGGUAAAGGAUGGGCAUGCGUCUGAUUAGUUAGUUGGCGGUGUAACGGACUACCAAGACGAUGAUCAGUAGGGGAACUGAGAGGUUGAUCCCCCACACUGGCACUGAGAUACGGGCCAGACUCCUACGGGAGGCAGCAGUAGGGAAUAUUGGUCAAUGGAUGGAAGUCUGAACCAGCCAUGCCGCGUGCAGGAAGAAGGCCUUCUGGGUUGUAAACUGCUUUUGCCAGGGGCUAAAAAGCCCAUGCGUGGGAAAUUGAAAGUACCUGGUGAAUAAGCCACGGCUAACUACGUGCCAGCAGCCGCGGUAUACGUAGGUGGCAAGCGUUGUCCGGAUUUAUUGGGUUUAAAGGGUGCGUAGGCGGCUUUGUAAGUCAGUGGUGAAAUACGGUAGCUCAACUAUCGAGGUGCCAUUGAUACUGCGGAGCUUGAGUACAGAUGAGGUAGGCGGAAUUGACGGUGUAGCGGUGAAAUGCUUAGAUAUCGUCCAGAACACCUAUUGCGAAGGCAGCUUACUAGGCUGUAACUGACGCUGAGGCACGAAAGUGUGGGGAUCAAACAGGAUUAGAUACCCUGGUAGUCCCACUGUAAACGUUGAUUACUC